Molecule: long non-coding RNA, 803 nt
Organism: Cavia porcellus (domestic guinea pig)
Lineage: Eukaryota; Metazoa; Chordata; Mammalia; Rodentia; Caviidae
Exons: 2
Source: RefSeq, a predicted model, not a curated record
CUCUAGUAAUGAAUUUCUACUCCCUUUUGAACUUUGAAUAUGUUAAUUUAAUCCCCAGAUGGUCACCAAAAAAUAUGUAUUGUCAAACCAUAGAUCUUGCUGCAUGGCUUCAGGGCUUACCCUUGCCCUGGCACUCUGCAGGUUCUAAACAUAGAGCUCGACAAGGGGGAAGAUAUCCUGGCCCAGCCCAGCCUAGCCCAGCUCAGCGUGUCCUUUCAGUGUUUACAAGAAUUUUGUCUUUUUGUCACGAUGUCCCUUCACUGAGUUGAAGUAUUCCCAGCCCUUAAAUGUUUUCAGAGAUUGGCUAGGAACAGUCAGUGGAAUGCUAUCAAAACCACAUUGUUUCUCAUUUCUGGACUUGAAAUCACCAGCAUUCGGAAUGCAUUAUCCUACAAUAUGAACAGAUUCUCUGUAAUGUGGGGAGUCAUCUUUGUAACCUGGGAUCCACUGCCACGAGCUGAGUUUGGGGCCCUGUCCAGCAGGAGGAAUGUUUAGAAGCCGAGGGAGAUCUUGUUCCUGUCUCCAGAACCCAUGCAAGUGGACUGAAGAGAAACUGUAGAAAGUGGAGUGCGUGCGCAAGUGUUUGUUAUAUUAAUUAAACUUCCCUGAGCCUUGACUUGCCAAUUUGUGAAGUGAAAAGAAGUUUUCUCUCUGCACAUCUAUGUACUUCUAUGGAGUUAUUUACUAUAAAGUACUAGAGCUUCUGUGGAAAAAGGAGGGGCACAAAUUCCAGCCCUUGGUGUGAUCAGUGGUAUUUGUAAAAGAGAAAGACAAUAGAAUUCUAAUAAAUUUUCCAAGUAUUC